Molecule: ribosomal RNA, 1470 nt
Filed under: Triticum aestivum (bread wheat)
Lineage: Eukaryota; Viridiplantae; Streptophyta; Magnoliopsida; Poales; Poaceae
Description: partial small subunit ribosomal RNA
Source: RNAcentral
AUGGCGUUGGCGGGGGUGGGGGAUGCGGCGGCGGUGACACAGCUCAUCGGGCAGGCCAUCGGGCUCGUCGCCAUGAUCAUCCGGGCGGUGGACACGGUACGCCAGAACAGGCUGGAGUGUGAGCACCUCGCCUGCCGCGUGUCCACGGUCGACGGGGUGCUGUCUAACCUGCCGCGGGACCAGGAGAUGGCGCCGCCGCUCAAGGUGCUGAAAAACACGCUGGAGGAGGCGCACCGCAUGGUCAUCGCCUGCCAGAACCGGGGCGCCGCCAGCCACUUCUUCGGAUCCCGCCGCCACGCCGAUUGCUUCAAUCAAGUCAACAACAGGAUUAUCUCCGACAUCGUCAUCCUCAACCUCAGCCUAAACAGCUACAUGGCUCGGCGACACUCCAACCAAGUCCUUCAACCCAGUCACAUCGGCGUACCGACUGCCACAAUAGCCAUGGCGCCGUGGCCAGGCUCCAGCUCUGCCCCCCUGCAGACGCUGAUGGUGGUGUCGCAGCAGUCGCAGGUAAGCUCGAUCUCCAGCGAUAACCCCAGGGCGCUCACGUGGGCGGAGAUUGCAGCCGCGACCAGCUUUUCCGUCGAGCUCGGCAGAGGCAGCUCGGGGAGGGUAUACAAGGGCCGUCUCCAGUUCCAGUUCCACUUCCACCACGGCACGGAGGUGGCCGUUAAGGUGCUGGAAAAGCACAGGCGGCAGGGCGUGGAGGACGCGUUCAUGGCGGAGAGCAACAUCCUUUCCGGCCUCCGGCACGACCACAUCGUCCGCCUCGUCGGCUGGUGCGCGGAGCAGGAUUACCGCAUGCUGGUCUACGAGCAUAUGGGAAAAGGCACGCUUAGAGACCACCUUCAGCAUUUCGGCGGUGGCCCUAGCUCGUCGCCGGUGACGACGUCCUGGGAGACGCGCGUGGAGGUGCUGCUGGGCGUGGCGCGGGCCAUCCACUACCUGCACUGCGGCGCGGAUCCGCUGGUCAUCCAUCGCAACGUCAGCUCGUCCAACAUCCUCCUGGACGGCGCCAACUGGACGCCGCGCCUGUCCGGCUUCGGCUCAGCGGUGUUUCAAGCGGCGGGUGUGGAGGAGCACGGCGGCCAGCUCGUCGAGGAGGUCGUCGGCACGCCGGGUUACAUAGAACCGGAGUACAGCGGCACGCACCGCGUGAGCGCGGCGAGCGAUGUGUACAGCUUCGGGGUGGUGGUGCUGGAGGCGCUGACGGGGAGGCCACCGGACAUCUACGGCGUCACGCUCGGCCUCCUCGUCGACUCCGUGCUCCCGAGCGUACAGGAGGGAAAGCUGCGGGAGGUGCUGGAUGGCCACUCGGCGCUGCAGCCGACGCCGCGUCAGAUGGAGGCGCUGGAUCUCGUGGCAUACACGGCGAGCCGCUGCCUGUGCCCGCGCGGGCACAACCGGCUGGCCAUGUCUGAUGUCGUGGCCAACCUCCACAGGGCGCUCCAGACCAUACGCAGCAAUUAA